Scylla paramamosain (green mud crab) is the source of this 2021-nucleotide long non-coding RNA. RefSeq lists it as uncharacterized. NCBI's taxonomy places the organism in Eukaryota, Metazoa, Arthropoda, Malacostraca, Decapoda, Portunidae. The transcript is spliced from 2 exons. The record is from RefSeq and is a predicted model, not a curated record.
AGAGUACUUGCAUGGGAAAAAGAGAGAAGGAGAGACUGAAGCAAACUAUAAAGGAAAGGGAAGGAAAAGGAGAGUACUUGCAUGGGAAGAAGAGAGAAGGAGAGACUGAAGCAAACUAUAAAGGAAAGGAAAGGAAAAUAAAGCACUUGAAUAGGAAGAAGAGAGGAGAAACUGAAGCAAAUAUGAAGGAAAGGGAAGGAAAAGACAGCACUUGAAUGGGAAGAAUAAACAAGAAGGGACUGAAACAAACUAUGAAGGAAAGAGAAGGAAGAACAAAACACCGAACAGUUAGAACAGACAAGGAGAGACUGAAGUAACAAACAAACAAACAAACUACCAAACAAACAACCAAACUAACUUGUCUUCUGCUUAAUCUCAUCAUCACUUUGGAACCAUGUGCGCUGUGGCUUGGCGUCCUCCUCCUCCUUCUCUGGGUCUUGCAGGCGCUUCUCCAUGCUGCGAAUGCUCUGCUCCAUCGCUGCCAACUGUUUCUCCUCCUGUUCCUCGUGCAUCACCUUCUUCACUGCUGGCCCCAGACGCUGCACCUUGGCAAUGUAUUUGGCCAGCACGUCUGUAGCAGUGGUGGUGGUGGUGGGGAAAUAGUGGGGUUUUAAGUAGUGUUCUAUUUCAUUACUUUCAAAAAGUUACACAGCAGAUUAACAAAAUUCCUACAUUAUUAACACAAAACAACAAAUAUCACCCACACACACACACACCUUUAUUGAGGAUGCGUUCAAACAUGGCGCUGCGGGAACACUUCUUGAUCUCCUUAAGCAUGGGGAACUCCUUCUCCCCUGCCAGACUCACGGAGCGGCCACAGUGCCCCGCCCUGGCUGUGCGCCCCACCCGGUGGACGUACCGGGUGUAGCGCGACGGCAGGGUGUAGUUGAUGACCUGUGGGUGGAGAGGUGUGAGGAACUGAUGGUCUGCAGGUGGAAGGAGGCAUGAAUUGAGCUAUGAGUGGAGAGAGGCAUGAUGAACUGAUGGUCUGUGAGUGGAAGAAGGCAUGACUUGAGGAGCUAUGGGUGGAGAGAGGCAAGAUGAAUUGAUGGUCUAUGGGUGGAAGAAGGUAUGAGAUGAGGAGAUCUGGAUGGAGAGAAGCAUGAGGAACCAAUGAUCUGUGGGUGGAAGAAGGCAUGAAUUGAGGAGCUAUGAGUGGAGAGAGGGAUGAGAUACUGAUGUCCUAGAAGUGGAAGGCCAUCUCUCCCAUGCCACCCUUACCACCCAGACAUCACUUACAGUUUUCACUCCCUUGAUGUCCAGACCGCGGGCAGCCACAUCAGUUGCUAUCAGGAUGUCAACCUCUUGGUCCCGGAACUUCUUGAGCGCCAGAAGUCGGUCGGUCUGUUUCAGGUUCCCAUGCAGUUCACCAGCCUUGAUGCCGAGGAGCCCCAGAAGAAUGGUGAGGUGGUGUGCCAUUGCCUGAGGGAGGAACAGGAUGAAGAGACCGAAGACUUAUGAAGUGUGAGGGAGUAAUGUGUUGUAUGAGAUGAGAAGAGAAAUGAGAUGAUUUAGUCACACAGUAAGAAAAGAAGACCAGGAACUGACUAAAAGAGGCUGUACAAAACCUGUUAACGCCCACCUUGGUCUCUACAAACACCAUGCAGUUCUGGCGGAAGGAGCGGGACACAAGGUACGCCAGGGCUGCCUCGCGCUGCCCCUCCAGGUGCUUCCGCAGGCGAACAAACUCCUGCCGUAGGUUUUGUGCCACGUCUGUGUUCUCGUUGACAAACACCUGCGGGAGACAUGGGGCAGAAUGCAGUGUGAUGAAUUGUAUGUGUGUGAGUGUGUGUGUUUUAUAAUUUUUCUCUUAAUUACGCUCCUUAGUGAUCUUUUUUCUUUAUUUUAUUUUUCUCUCUUAGCUGAAUUUGUUUAUGCAUCUUUCUUUUCCUUCAUGAACCUUUUUUUUCAAGUUUUAUCCUUUUCUCUCUUAGUCAAGCUUCUUCUUGGUCAAUCUAUAAGGACAAUAAGGAUUAAUGAGGCCGUGUGUGGAAGCAUAUCAAUAAAAUUCAGAAUAUUUU